This 506-nucleotide ribosomal RNA is filed under the name uncultured Glomus. RNAcentral describes it as "SSU rRNA". It matches the Rfam family "Eukaryotic small subunit ribosomal RNA", at positions 569 to 1078 of the family's 1831-position model. The record is from RNAcentral. Lineage: Eukaryota; Fungi; Glomeromycota; Glomeromycetes; Glomerales; Glomeraceae.
AGCAGCCGCGGUAAUUCCAGCUCCAAUAGCGUAUAUUAAAGUUGUUGCAGUUAAAAAGCUCGUAGUUGAAUUUCGGGGUUAGCAGGUCGGUCGUGCCAUCGGUAUGAACUGGUCUCGCUGAUCCCUCCCUCUUGACGAACUGUGAUGCCAUUAAUUUGGUGUCGCAGGGAAUCAGGACUGUUACUUUGAAAAAAUUAGAGUGUUUAAAGCAGGCUCACGCUUGAAUACAUUAGCAUGGAAUAAUGAAAUAGGACGUUUGAUCCUAUUUUGUUGGCUUCUAGGAUUGACGUAAUGAUUAAUAGGGAUAGUUGGGGGCAUUAGUAUUCAAUUGUCAGAGGUGAAAUUCUUGGAUUUAUUGAAGACUAACUACUGCGAAAGCAUUUGCCAAGGAUGUUUUCAUUAAUCAAGAACGAAAGUUAGGGGAUCGAAGACGAUCAGAUACCGUCGUAGUCUUAACCAUAAACUAUGCCGACUAGGGAUCGGAUGAUGUUAAUUUUUAUGACUUU